UACGUAGGUGGCAAGCGUUGUCCGGAUUUACUGGGCGUAAAGAGCUCGCAGGCGGCUGGUUAAGUCCGAUGUGAAAUCUCCCGGCUUAACUGGGAAACUGCAUCGGAAACUGAUCGGCUUGAAGGUGGGAGAGGGUAGUGGAAUUCCCGGUGUAGUGGUGAAAUGCGUAGAUAUCGGGAGGAACACCAGUGGCGAAGGCGACUCCCUGGCCCAUUCUUGACGCCGAGGCGCGAAAGCUAGGGGAGCGAACGGG
RNAcentral lists this ribosomal RNA (253 nucleotides) under uncultured bacterium. Its description in RNAcentral is "partial 16S ribosomal RNA". It matches the Rfam family "Bacterial small subunit ribosomal RNA", at positions 524 to 776 of the family's 1533-position model. The record is from RNAcentral.